UGCUGCAGCUCUAGUGGUGGUCGUUGGAGGGGGUCUUCAUUUGAAGAGGUCAGCGGUGCUGCAGCUCUAGUGGUGGUCGUUGGAGGGGGUCUUUAUUUGAAGAGGUCAGCGGUGCUGCAGCUCUAGUGGUGGUCGUUGGAGGGGGUCUUUAUUUGAAGAGGUCAGCUGUGCUGCAGCUCUAGUGGUGGUCGUUGGAGGGGGUCUUUAUUUGAAGAGGUCAGCGGUGCUGCAGCUCUAGUGGUGGUCGUUGGAAGAGGUCAGCUGUGCUGCAGCUCUAGUGGUCGUUGGAGGUGGUCUUUAUUUGAAGAGGUCAGCUGUGCUGCAGCUCUAGUGGUGGUCGUUGGAGGGGGUCUUUAUUUGAAGAGGUCAGCGGUGCUGCAGCUCUAGUGGUGGUCGUUGGAGGGGGUCUUUAUUUGAAGAGGUCAGCUGUGCUGCAGCUCUAGUGGUGGUCGUUGGAGGGGGUCUUUAUUUGAAGAGGUCAGCUGUGCUGCAGCUCUAGUGGUGGUCGUUGGAGGGGGUCUUUAUUUGAAGAGGUCAGCUGUGCUGCAGCUCUAGUGGUGGUCGUUGGAGGGGGUCUUUAUUUGAAGAGGUCAGCUGUGCUGCAGCUCUAGUGGUGGUCGUUGGAGGGGGUCUUUAUUUGAAGAGGUCAGCUGUGCUGCAGCUCUAGUGGUGGUCGUUGGAGGGGGUCUUUAUUUGAAGAGGUCAGCUGUGCUGCAGCUCUAGUGGUGGUCGUUGGAGGGGGUCUUUAUUUGAAGAGGUCAGCGGUGCUGCAGCUCUAGUGGUGGUCGUUGGAGGGGGUCUUUAUUUGAAGAGGUCAGCUGUGCUGCAGCUCUAGUGGUCGUUGGAGGGGGUCUUUAUUUGAAGAGGUCAGCUGUGCUGCAGCUCUAGUGGUGGUCGUUGGAGGGGGUCUUUAUUUGAAGAGGUCAGCUGUGCUGCAGCUCUAGUGGUGGUCGUUG
Molecule: long non-coding RNA, 956 nt
Organism: Oncorhynchus keta (chum salmon)
Lineage: Eukaryota; Metazoa; Chordata; Actinopteri; Salmoniformes; Salmonidae
Exons: 5
Source: RefSeq, a predicted model, not a curated record